This 442-nucleotide ribosomal RNA is filed under the name uncultured bacterium. RNAcentral's name for it is "partial 16S ribosomal RNA". It matches the Rfam family "Bacterial small subunit ribosomal RNA", at positions 338 to 795 of the family's 1533-position model. The record is from RNAcentral.
CCUACGGGAGGCAGCAGUGGGGGAUAUUGCACAAUGGGGGAAACCCUGAUGCAGCGACGCCGCGUGGGCGAAGAAGUAUUUCGGUAUGUAAAGUCCUAUCAGCAGGGAAGAAGAAAUGACGGUACCUGAGCAAGAAGCACCGGCUAAAUACGGGCCAGCAGCCGCGGUAAUAUGUAUGGUGCAAGCGUUAUCCGGAUUUACUGGGUGUAAAGGGAGCGCAGGCGGCACGGCAAGCCUGAUGUGAAAGCCAGCGGCUCAACCGCGGGACUGCAUUGGGAACUACCGGGCUGGAGUGCCGGAGAGGUAGGCGGAAUUACGAGUGUAGCGGUGAAAUGCGUAGAUAUUAGGAGGAACACCAGUGGCGAAGGCGGCCUACUGGACGGUGACUGACGCUGAGGCUCGAAAGCGUGGGGAGCAAACAGGAUGAGAUACCCGUGUAGUC